Molecule: long non-coding RNA, 2766 nt
Organism: Columba livia (rock pigeon)
Lineage: Eukaryota; Metazoa; Chordata; Aves; Columbiformes; Columbidae
Exons: 3
Source: RefSeq, a predicted model, not a curated record
CAUGGUCAUAGUAAACACCAAGGUUUUGGUUUUACAAGAAAAAAAACAUUACCAAUUAAUCACCUACAUGAGUAGUAUUCUGUUUCCUGGAGCUCACAGCUUCAUACAAAGAAGUUAAUCCUGCAGCUUUACAGAAACAAGAAAACCAUAUCUAACACUAGGGACUACUUCUUUCACAAGCACCAGAAGCCAGCCCAAAAUGCAGUAGGUCAACCAUGUUAAUACUUAUUUUGUUUUUUUUCUCUCUGCCCAUCUUUAACCCCCUUCCAGCAAUAUAAGCUAUUCCUCCUCAAAGUUUUCAGCCUCUUCUUAAAUUUCAAUGGUCAUCAUACUUGACUGUACUUGUAUCUGGAGUUCUCCAACAGGACCAUGCAAAAAUGGAGUGAAAACAAUGACAUUUUUUAAGCCCUGCAGUCAGGUCCUCAAUGUUCUCAGCAUCUGACUCUAGCCUGCAGAGGUGUGAAUCAAAGUCUGUUUUCCCAUGUGGUCAUGCCAGAUGGUUGGCUCAAAACCCAUCAUUUCUUUACAGCAAAACUCACUAGACACAGACAGUAACCAUAAGAUAUAUUGGAAACUUGAAUCUUGUAUAAUUUAGACUGCCAACACCCAAGCGAAAGAUACUUCACCCUACUACUUAUGUCAGCUCUUCAAGGAUGGUUUCUUUGCUGAAUAUGUCCUGAAACAUUUCAAGGCAAUGGUAAAAAUAAAUUACUACGGUUAGCCUGCAUCUUCUCAUUCUAAAAGAUCUUGUAUUUACUUCUGAACUUUGAUUGUCAAAUUACAUUCAAGGAUCAUUUCACAUGCCCUAAAAGUCAGUCCUGCUUCCAAGGAACGGUUGAAAACAGCUAUGCAGAACAACGGAUCACAUGCUAAUUUUAUGUCAUUGUCUGUGGCUGUGUUGCAGAGUGUUCUGGAAUUUGUCAGGGGUGGUGAUACCCAACCAUGUCACACUGUACCUUUUACAAAAGAAUUAGAACACUCAGUAAGGCUCUGCCCUGGUGAAAUUGUGAAGGGAGUGCUGAAGAUAACAUUAUUCAGUAAAACAAAUAAAAAUUCAGGAAGGAGACAGUGAGUUGAAAAUAACCAUAUGUUGCGAAAAUCUGGCACUGUAUAUUUAGUGACCACAAGAGGUCAGGACAUCAGUUUUCCACUGCAUCUUAAAAGCAACAUCUCUAAGAGCCUGGAGCCAGAAUACUAUUUUAGCCACGUGGCAGAGAUGCUGUAAAGAAGCAGAACACAGUUGUGCAAGCAGCCAAAAUCUCUCUGUCCACGUGGGUAUCCCAGCACAUGUGUACACGCAAAUGCAACCCUGCUGACCAGAACACAUCUAUUCAGAGAAACAUUAUCACCGUCAUUUCUGCUCCAAGACUCACAGCAUCACUCAUCAACAAGAAGUCAAGGUCACGACACCCCCAAAGACACAACGCACAGACUCAUCCCUUCAGGUCUCCGUGCUGCUGAGAACCUCCCUCCUCACACGCUCACUAAUGGCACCAUCGCCGCUCCCCUCCAGAUUGUUUAACAGAUGCUCUUGAUAAAUACCGGAGCAGCUGAAAUUCUGCAGGAAAUGAAGCGCGGCCGCCUGACCGCCACGGCUGCUGCUGAAGGAUGGGAGACACUUACAAGGUCUUUGGGAUGGGUAUCACACGAGCAAAGGGAUUCGGCCCUUUUGCUGGGACUGAAGGGUCUGAAGUCAGGGAAUGGAGUGGGCCUGAGUGGUAUGAAUUUCAUAAGGUAUUAUCAGCUCCCAGGUCACUGGCACGGGGAGGUUCUCCUAGAGGAAAUAUGAUGAACUGUGCUAGCUUAUAGGGCUCCCAGCUGCAUCUGUGCAAGUAAUAAAUUCACUGGAAGCUAACAAACACACAAUUUACAGUUUGAAUAAACAUACGCAGGGGGGGUGUGUGUGUAUAUAUAUAUUUUUGUGUGCGUUUGUAUUUGAAUUUUACUGUUCUCAAAUAGCUAUCUAACAUAUUUGUGAAGAAGUGCAAACAAUCCAUUUGCAGGACAAGAAUUUAGUUGCAGUCCUUUUUAGCUCCACAACCAGAGAAGUUUUCCAGGUGUUCUGCCCACUGACAUUUAGUUGUCCCAAGCAAUGGACAGAUUGAAGCAUCAAGAUUCCCCCCCACUUGUGACUUACAAAAGUAAGGCAACCUUCCAAAAUGCAAUGGCCCUGUUAAAUCUGUAGUUCAUCAAUAGUUUUGUUUAAAACUAUGUACUUUGCCUUUAUUUCCCUUUUCCUUUCUUCUUUUCCUCCACUUCUAGGCUAAUCUAAUCUAGCCUAGUCCUCAUAGAUUUUCAUCGACUUUAUAUUUAAACUUCUGUCACCAUAUUAAACAACAGGCAGAGGGAAAAAGGAUGGUGAACAUUCUGAGAAGGGAAAGGAUGAGCUGCUGGGGUAGUGGCUGUAGUUAGAAAAGUAAACUUCAGUUUUUAUAGGAAAUUCCUCUUGUGAAUUGGAAGCAGCAGCACAGAUUCUAAAACCUUCCCACGGAAGAGAAAUUGUGUAAGAAAAAUAAAAUUAAAAUCAUAUGGAGACAUCAAAAUGCCAUAAUGCGAAGCACUCUAUGCUACUACAAGCUAUUUAAAAUUAAUGCCUUAAUGUAGUAUAAAAUCCAUACAAAUUAGAUUGGGAAAAAAUGUGGAAACCAAGUGUUUUUUCUGGUCUCAGAGCAAAACAUUUUGUCAUUACCCAAAUGAAAUAGGAAGUCAAAACAAUUCAUUUUAACUAUUCUCCAUCAAACAUUUCAUUGCAAUUGACUUGUUCCA